Molecule: non-coding RNA, 50 nt
Submitted as: unclassified sequences
Source: Rfam
CUCCAUAAGGGGAAGUAUUACCCCUUAUGGAAAUCGUGUAGCGUGUAGCA